UACGUAGGGUGCGAGCGUUGUCCGGAAUUAUUGGGCGUAAAGAGCUCGUAGGCGGUCUGUCGCGUCGAUCGUGAAAACUUGGGGCUUAACCCUGAGCUUGCGGUCGAUACGGGCAUGACUGGAGUUCGGCAGGGGAGACUGGAAUUCCUGGUGUAGCGGUGAAAUGCGCAGAUAUCAGGAGGAACACCGGUGGCGAAGGCGGGUCUCUGGGCAACUACUGACGCUGAGGAGCGAAAGCGUGGGGAGCGAACAGG
This 254-nucleotide ribosomal RNA is filed under the name uncultured bacterium. RNAcentral describes it as "partial 16S ribosomal RNA". It matches the Rfam family "Bacterial small subunit ribosomal RNA", at positions 524 to 776 of the family's 1533-position model. The record is from RNAcentral.